This 63-nucleotide transfer RNA is filed under the name Streptocephalus sirindhornae. Its description in RNAcentral is "tRNA-Phe". It matches the Rfam family "tRNA". From Rfam's summary of the family: Transfer RNA (tRNA) molecules are approximately 80 nucleotides in length. Their secondary structure includes four short double-helical elements and three loops (D, anti-codon, and T loops). The record is from RNAcentral. Lineage: Eukaryota; Metazoa; Arthropoda; Branchiopoda; Anostraca; Streptocephalidae.
AUCUUUAUAGCUUAAGUUAGAGCAUAACACUGAAGAUGUUAGGGUGAAUUAUUUCUAAGGAUA